CCCCGCCGCAACUGCUUCUCGUUGACACCGUUCCGAUUCCGAACACAGCGCCAUGAGUGCUCCGGCUGCGUACUCCGUCGCACGAUCCGAUAUCUUUAAUAUUAUCUUCACAAGCAUCGGCACCGUGAGAGCAUGACCGGCAAACGACGCGCAACCAGCUGGUACACGGCAUAACAACUCCACCGUUGCUAAUGCUCUCUCAGCAUCACACUUCUCGAAAUCAGCAAGCCGGUCAAUAAGUACUACAGGUGCACCGGCGGAAACAGCACGGUGGCGCGUUUGUUUCACCAAACAUAAAGCGAACAAAGCUUUAAUUCCUAUCUUCAGUGCACGUGGAUAGGAGAUCGGAUUCUUCAAUAUCUCAACAACACCGUCGUAGAUCCCGUCAACAUUGCUCACCUGAAGACGAAUCUCCGGCGAGUGAGUUCCGGCGACGAUGAUUUCAAUCAACGCUGCUGAGUUAACUCGAACAUCGAACGAAUCAUGUGAAAGAAGACUUGUAAGGUAGUUAAUCUUAUCUGAAUCGGAAGCGAGUGAAGUACAUUCUGACUCACUGAGUGGAAAUAGAACUAUUAAAGCGAGUGACUCAUUUUUUAACUCGUCUAAACCGUUGUUAAAAAGAAUAGGUAAUAUAAUAUUCCGAACGUUGAGAGAGGAUAUAAGAGAACGGUUAUACUCCGAGUCACGAGUUAACGAUCUGAGUCGCCGGAGCGAGUUGAGACGUAGUUGAGUAGGGGCAGAAUGUGAAGAUAUUUGGUUAAGUAAAGAACGAACAAGAGCAGCGUCUGCGGGUUGUUUAGGUGUUGGAAUCCGCUGAACUCCAAAAGCGCGGUUGGAAACGCACCAAUCUUGGAUUAAACGGCGGAGGGUGUGAUUUGGUAUGAAGGUGAAAUCUGUGAGAUUGGUCCGGGUAACCGGACACGUCGUGUUACCGGUGUUAACCCACGACUCGAUGCUAUUUCGGUCGUAGGUUUGACCGGUGGAGACGGUCACUGGGUCUCGCAUGAGUUCGAGCGAGAUUGGACAUCUGAAGUGGUAAGGAAUUUGAACCCCUAAAUCUAAUGGUUCUAAACAGCCACGCAUUUUUUUUUUUAUUUGGUUAUGGGACAGAAGAGGAAUGAGGUUUAUAAUAGGAGAGUGAGUACUAGUAUAGUACGAGAAAAUAUAAUAAUGCUAAAUGUGAAGGCUCUGAAAAUUCUCUUUAGCUAAGUUGUGUGUGUGCUUUCUCUUAUAUGAGAUGAAACAGAGGAACAUACCCAACAGGAACAGAGAGAGGGACCAACCCUUAACUCUCUGCCAUGCCCCCUGACUCGUUUAUUGCCCCCUCCCACACGUGUGGUGUGUGGUGGCAUGGCAUCCAACUUGGAAUCUAACCCUGGUUGGGGAAUUCAAUCACAGACAAAGGAUUGGUCAAAUGAAAUAUGCUUAUUAUGGGUCCCACUAUUAUUUUCCUGCCUAAAAUCUUACUCCUGUGUACAUCAACUAAUUACGCCUUGUCCUCCAUUUCAUUUUUUUACUUUAUUUGUUACUAGUAUUUUUUGGGGUCACUUUGCAUUCUUCUUUUCUCUAUUGUGUCUCUUUCAUCUUUCUUUGCAUUCAUGGCCUUUUUGUUCUCUUUUCUUUUUUUUAUCUUAGACUCUACUUUUGUUGUUUGGCAAAUCGAGGUGAAAGAAAGCUUUGAACUUGUUUCAUUGCAACUCUUUGUGUGUAGUGAAAGGUAUCUACAGGAGAUAGAUCAAUGUAUAUGAUUAUUUGAUGGUUCAUUGCAAAG
Molecule: long non-coding RNA, 1771 nt
Filed under: Medicago truncatula (barrel medic)
Lineage: Eukaryota; Viridiplantae; Streptophyta; Magnoliopsida; Fabales; Fabaceae
Description: lncRNA gene24727
Source: RNAcentral